This 808-nucleotide ribosomal RNA is filed under the name Staphylococcus aureus. Its description in RNAcentral is "partial 23S ribosomal RNA". It matches the Rfam family "Bacterial large subunit ribosomal RNA", at positions 252 to 1058 of the family's 2925-position model. Lineage: Bacteria; Bacillati; Bacillota; Bacilli; Caryophanales; Staphylococcaceae. The record is from RNAcentral.
AGCGAAACGGGAAGAGCCCAAACCAACAAGCUUGCUUGUUGGGGUUGUAGGACACUCUAUACGGAGUUACAAAGGACGACAUUAGACGAAUCAUCUGGAAAGAUGAAUCAAAGAAGGUAAUAAUCCUGUAGUCGAAAAUGUUGUCUCUCUUGAGUGGAUCCUGAGUACGACGGAGCACGUGAAAUUCCGUCGGAAUCUGGGAGGACCAUCUCCUAAGGCUAAAUACUCUCUAGUGACCGAUAGUGAACCAGUACCGUGAGGGAAAGGUGAAAAGCACCCCGGAAGGGGAGUGAAAUAGAACCUGAAACCGUGUGCUUACAAGUAGUCAGAGCCCGUUAAUGGGUGAUGGCGUGCCUUUUGUAGAAUGAACCGGCGAGUUACGAUUUGAUGCAAGGUUAAGCAGUAAAUGUGGAGCCGUAGCGAAAGCGAGUCUGAAUAGGGCGUUUAGUAUUUGGUCGUAGACCCGAAACCAGGUGAUCUACCCUUGGUCAGGUUGAAGUUCAGGUAACACUGAAUGGAGGACCGAACCGACUUACGUUGAAAAGUGAGCGGAUGAACUGAGGGUAGCGGAGAAAUUCCAAUCGAACCUGGAGAUAGCUGGUUCUCUCCGAAAUAGCUUUAGGGCUAGCCUCAAGUGAUGAUUAUUGGAGGUAGAGCACUGUUUGGACGAGGGGCCCCUCUCGGGUUACCGAAUUCAGACAAACUCCGAAUGCCAAUUAAUUUAACUUGGGAGUCAGAACAUGGGUGAUAAGGUCCGUGUUCGAAAGGGAAACAGCCCAGACCACCAGCUAAGGUCCCAAAAUAUAUG